AGGUGCGAUCAUACCAGCACUAAUGCACCGGAUCCUAUUAGAACUCCGAAGUUAAGCGUGCUUGGGCGAGAGUAGUACUAGGAUGGGUGACCUCCUGGGAAGUCCUCGUGUUGCACCUC
Ribosomal RNA from Vigna angularis (adzuki bean), 119 nucleotides. Lineage: Eukaryota; Viridiplantae; Streptophyta; Magnoliopsida; Fabales; Fabaceae. The record is from Rfam.